UGAGGAAUAUUGGUCAAUGGGCGCAAGCCUGAACCAGCCAUCCCGCGUGCAGGAAGACGGCCCUAUGGGUUGUAAACUGCUUUUCCAGGGGGAGAAACUUGCGCACGUGUUGCGCAAUUGACGGUACCCUGGGAAUAAGCAUCGGCUAACUCCGUGCCAGCAGCCGCGGUAAUACGGAGGAUGCGAGCGUUAUCCGGAUUCAUUGGGUUUAAAGGGUGCGUAGGCGGACUAUUAAGUCAGUGGUGAAAUCCUGCAGCUUAACUGCAGAACUGCCAUUGAUACUGAUAGCCUUGAGUUUGGUUAAGGUAGGCGGAAUGUGUAAUGUAGCGGUGAGAUGCUUAGAUAUUACACAGAACACCGAUUGCGAAGGCAGCUUACUGGGCCGUUACUGACGCUGAUGCACGAAAGCGUGGGGAUCGAACA
RNAcentral lists this ribosomal RNA (423 nucleotides) under uncultured prokaryote. Its description in RNAcentral is "bacterial SSU rRNA". It matches the Rfam family "Bacterial small subunit ribosomal RNA", at positions 355 to 774 of the family's 1533-position model. The record is from RNAcentral.